This 253-nucleotide ribosomal RNA is filed under the name uncultured bacterium. Its description in RNAcentral is "partial 16S ribosomal RNA". It matches the Rfam family "Bacterial small subunit ribosomal RNA", at positions 524 to 776 of the family's 1533-position model. The record is from RNAcentral.
UACGGAGGAUCCAAGCGUUAUCCGGAUUUAUUGGGUUUAAAGGGUGCGUAGGCGGCUUAUUAAGUCAGGGGUGAAAGACGGUGGCUCAACCAUCGCAGUGCCUUUGAUACUGAUGAGCUUGAAUAUACUUGAGGUAGGCGGAAUGUGACAAGUAGCGGUGAAAUGCAUAGAUAUGUCACAGAACACCGAUUGCGAAGGCAGCUUACCAAGGUAUGAUUGACGCUGAGGCACGAAAGCGUGGGGAUCAAACAGG